This 253-nucleotide ribosomal RNA is filed under the name uncultured bacterium. RNAcentral describes it as "partial 16S ribosomal RNA". It matches the Rfam family "Bacterial small subunit ribosomal RNA", at positions 524 to 776 of the family's 1533-position model. The record is from RNAcentral.
UACGUAGGGGGCAAGCGUUGUCCGGAUUUAUUGGGCGUAAAGCGCGCGUAGGCGGCGCGGUAUGUCGUGCGUGAAAUCUCCCGGCUUAACUGGGAGGGGCCGUGCGAAACUGCCGGGCUUGAGGUCGGAAGGGGAAAGUGGAAUUCCGGGUGUAGUGGUGGAAUACGUAGAUAUCCGGAGGAACACCAGCGGCGAAGGCGGCUUUCUGGUCCGAUACUGACGCUGAGGUGCGAAAGCGUGGGGAGCUAUCCGG